This is a long non-coding RNA of Tachyglossus aculeatus (Australian echidna), 379 nucleotides long. RefSeq lists it as uncharacterized. Lineage: Eukaryota; Metazoa; Chordata; Mammalia; Monotremata; Tachyglossidae. The transcript has 4 exons. The record is from RefSeq and is a predicted model, not a curated record.
GUCGGAUUUAUUGAGCGCCGACUAGGUGCAGAGUGCUGGGGCCGGGGGUGGAGAGCAUAUGCAAGAGGAGAGGGUAUGGAGGAAGACUUUGUGAUCAGAUGGGCUUGGGUGACAUUGGCACAGGGUUCAUAACUCGACAUGUUCUCGGGCUGGGACCAGAGGAGAAGCUCCAGUGCCACUUCACUCUGAUGAGACCGAGGUUCUUCUGCCCAUCCCCAGAGGAGGACUGAGUGAGUCCCGAGGUCCCCCUUCCUGCAAUAGCAUGUCCAGGCUGCUCAAAGCCCUCCAGCCAAAAUCCUCUGGAAACACACAGCUCAGGGCAGGAUAGCCGAGGGGAGAAUCUAGCUACUACUCAUUUAAAUAAAAACUGCUCAAUGCA